Tropilaelaps mercedesae is the source of this 46-nucleotide non-coding RNA. The record is from Rfam. Lineage: Eukaryota; Metazoa; Arthropoda; Arachnida; Mesostigmata; Laelapidae.
UAAAAGGUCCUCUUAAGGACCACUUAAAGCAGUACUAAAGACGUUG